This 286-nucleotide ribosomal RNA is filed under the name uncultured bacterium. RNAcentral's name for it is "partial 16S ribosomal RNA". It matches the Rfam family "Bacterial small subunit ribosomal RNA", at positions 72 to 353 of the family's 1533-position model. The record is from RNAcentral.
AAGAAAGCUUGCUUUCUUUGCUGGCGACCGGCGCACGGGUGAGUAACACGUAUCCAACCUACCCUUUACUCGGGGAUAGCCUUUCGAAAGAAAGAUUAAUACCCGAUAGCAUAAUGAUUCCGCAUGGUUUCAUUAUUAAAGGAUUCCGGUAAAGGAUGGGGAUGCGUUCCAUUAGGUUGUUGGUGGGGUAACGGCCCACCAAGCCUUCGAUGGAUAGGGGUUCUGAGAGGAAGGUCCCCCACAUUGGAACUGAGACGCGGUCCAAACUCCUACGGGAGGCAGCAUG